AUGAUGGCCUCGUCGGGGCAGCGCGCGGUGGCUCUCGCCGCGCUCGUGGUCGUCGUUCUGGUCGCCGGAGCAGGCCCUGCUGGCGGGGCGCGGCAGAUGCCGGUGGAGAGGAGCGGGGACGGCGCGGCGGCAACGGUGGUGGUGGCGGAGAAGGCUACGGAGACGGUGGAGAUGCUCAUGGCGAGGCUGCCGGCCGGGCCCAGCAACAGGGGCGCCGGCCACUAG
Molecule: ribosomal RNA, 225 nt
Filed under: Triticum aestivum (bread wheat)
Lineage: Eukaryota; Viridiplantae; Streptophyta; Magnoliopsida; Poales; Poaceae
Description: partial small subunit ribosomal RNA
Source: RNAcentral